RNAcentral lists this ribosomal RNA (253 nucleotides) under uncultured bacterium. RNAcentral describes it as "partial 16S ribosomal RNA". It matches the Rfam family "Bacterial small subunit ribosomal RNA", at positions 524 to 776 of the family's 1533-position model. The record is from RNAcentral.
UACAGAGGUCUCAGGCGUUGUUCGGAUUCAUUGGGCGUAAAGGGUGCGUAGGCGGCGCGGUAAGUCGGGUGUGAAAUCUUGGAGCUUAACUCCGAAACUGCAUUCGAUACUGCCGUGCUUGAGGACUGGAGAGGAGACUGGAAUUUACGGUGUAGCGGUGAAAUGCGUAGAUAUCGUAAGGAAGACCAGUGGCGAAGGCGGGUCUCUGGACAGUUCCUGACGCUGAGGCACGAAGGCCAGGGGAGCAAACGGG